RNAcentral lists this long non-coding RNA (212 nucleotides) under Elaeis guineensis (African oil palm). RNAcentral's name for it is "long non-coding RNA (EGUI_LNC069849)". The record is from RNAcentral. Lineage: Eukaryota; Viridiplantae; Streptophyta; Magnoliopsida; Arecales; Arecaceae.
GAUCGCAGCAAUGCUCGGUGUUCUAAAAUAGCCAUGCAAUCACCUAACCUCUAUCGAUAUCCACUCAAGUAGGAUUUGGAUCAUCUUCUCCUCAUGAAUCUUUGCUCCAAAAAUUAGAUAUGGAUCUGAUCUGGAAGAUCUUCAAAAGAUCUUCUAAAGCUGGAGCAGUAGCUUCUCAACAAAUCUCUGCAGCCUUCUAAUCAGGAAGCCAC